AGUGUAUAGUUCAGAUUGAAAUGAUGUUCCUCAUGAAUCAGCUGUUUCCACUGAAUAUCAUUAUAAAUGACUCAGAAGCAUGGAGAUGAGUUUAGUAGAUUAUAUUUUUACUCACUGAUGCAGUUGAAAUUUGUGUUCAUUUGCUGCUGUUACGAGUUCAGUUUUUGUACUGUUUGUAGUGUUUAAUGUUUUUUUUUCUUCUUUUAAACAUUUUGCCUUGUGUUCUUACAUUCAUAUUUUCUGUCGCUUUCAGAUAUUUUCAUUUUUGACUCCAGUGAUGAUGCAGUGAUCCGGAUUCUUCUGCUGGGCAGAAACACUUCUGGGAAAAGCUCAUCUGGGAACACUAUACUGGGAGAAGAGAGGUUUAAAAGGCACGAGUCUGAGGUGUGUGAGGGUCAAGCUCAGAUCUGUGGGCAGCAGGUUGCUGUGAUUGAUUGUCCAGAUCUACUGGAUCCAGAUCUGAAUGAAGAGCAGCUGGAGAAGAUGAAAGAGCAGCUGGUCGCUGGAUGUUCAGCAGGUCUCAGUUCAGUUCUGCUCACCGUGUCUCUGGAGAAACCUGUGGGAAAUGAGGAGGAGAUCCUGGAUUAUAUGAAGUGUUUGUUUGGUGCUGGAGUUCAGAAAUACAUCAUGAUUCUGUUCACACGUGGAGAUGAUCUGGAGGAUCUGGAUCAGACCAUUGAUGAACAUCUGAAACACAAAGAUCAUGAGGAUCUGCAGCGACUCGUGACUGAAUGUGGAGGAAAGUUUCACUGUUUCAAUAAGAUGAAGAAAGCGAAGGGUCAAGUUGAAGAUCUACUGCAGAAGAUUGAGGGAAUGAUGACGGAGAACGGAGGGAAUUUCUUUAUGAAACAAAUGCAGAGGAGCGACAGCAUGGACGUUCUUAAUGUCAGCUUUUCUGGACAGAGUUUACCAUAUCCAGUCUCCAGAUGAAGUUGAUGCAGUUCUUGAGAGGAAAGACCAGAUCAGGCUGGCUCUGCUGGGAAAAACUGGACUCUGCAACACUACUGGAAACACCAUCGUGGAUAUCAAACAGUGUCCGUGAGAAACUACAGUCUCAGUGAUGUGUGUGAUUAAGAAACUUAAUAAUCAGACACACAAGACUCCUAAAGCAGUUCUUUUCUUAUCAGCGGUGUAUUAAAAUCAUGCAGAGAUAUGCAUGCAGCGAUCACAGUAAUACAUCAGUCACUGCACGAGCUGCGAGUGUCUCCAAACAACUGUAAUAAAUGCACCGCAUUAAUCUGAAUCUGCUGUUCAUUCACAUGAUGCUGGACUAUGAUGUACUCUGUAAAUAUAAUGUGCUUUCUGUAUCGCUAUCCAGAGUGAGUGGCUUUCCCUUUAGAGGGGAAUCGGUCAGAUAUCAGAAUAUUGAAAGAAUAAAGUUGAUUUACUGUGAUUCUGAAUGCUGUGUCUGUCUG
This is a long non-coding RNA of Sinocyclocheilus anshuiensis, 1415 nucleotides long. The record is from Ensembl. Lineage: Eukaryota; Metazoa; Chordata; Actinopteri; Cypriniformes; Cyprinidae.